This 944-nucleotide long non-coding RNA is filed under the name Homo sapiens (human). RNAcentral describes it as "HSALNT0269875". The record is from RNAcentral. Lineage: Eukaryota; Metazoa; Chordata; Mammalia; Primates; Hominidae.
AUGAAAGCGGAGAUGGGCGAGCUCACUCACAAGCAGGGCCGCGCUGGUGUCAGCACCUUGGGCAGCCUCAGUCCUUCCUCUUGGAUCCGGCACUGGCAGGGCACCAGUGCGAAGAGGGCUGCCUGUUCAACUCCCACUGAAGCUACAGGAGGAAGCGGUGACACAUGCUGUCCCUUGUCCUGGAGGAGACCCUGCACCACCAGUCCUGUGUCUGCGACUCCCAGAACCGGAUGGCCCAGGCGCUGUGUCCACGUAGCCCUUCGUGUAUUGUAUUGGGCCUCUUCAGUCACUGCUAGAUUUUCCAGUAUUGACCAACAGAAUCUUCCCAUUGGCUCGUUUCUUGGAAGAAUGAGAAAGAGAUGGGAAGAGGGGGAGAGAGCCUAGCUCCCCACAUGCAGGUCUCUUUCCUUCCUCUCUCCCUGACCUCUUCCAUGCGUGCUUCCGAUAUCCCCAUGUUGAGAAGACAAACCACAGAUAAAGUAGCCUCUCCUGGCCCACAGCCAGGGGCGUGGGUGCCUCCGUCCUGUGUGUGCAGACAGCUGAACAACCAGAUUGUGACCUUGGCCUGGACUUCCUCAGCUGGCUGGAGAUGAACUUGUUUUCAGAACUGUGAAACUUGACAUCCUUUAUCCCGAUACCUUCAACUCCCAAGUUUGCUUGGCCAAAACAAGCCAUAUCUGCUUAAUCUUUGGGGCUCUUUCUCAUGGAAAAGGAGGCUGCUGCUUUGGCCAUUUCCAAAGGCCCAGUGUCCACAGAGCCUUUCAGCACCACAGUCACCCCUUUGGACCCCAGGGGGGAGUAUCCUGCUGUCAUUUCAGUCACAUUUUUAGACAAUGAAACUAGAUGGUGAGGAAGGGCCACUCUGUGCUGGCGCUCAGGCGAAUUCAGGAGGGGAGCAGCCUGCGUCACUGCCCCAGGGACUGCUGGUUAGCCCAGGACUGGAG